UACGUAGGGUGCGAGCGUUAAUCGGAAUUACUGGGCGUAAAGCGUGCGCAGGCGGUUUUGUAAGCCGGAUGUGAAAUCCCCGGGCUUAACCUGGGAAUGGCAUUCGGGACUGCAAGGCUGGAGUGCGGCAGAGGAGACUGGAAUUCCUGGUGUAGCAGUGAAAUGCGUAGAUAUCAGGAGGAACACCGAUGGCGAAGGCGGCAUCCUGGACCGGCAUUGACGCUGAGGAGCGAAAGCUAGGGGAGCAAACGGG
This 253-nucleotide ribosomal RNA is filed under the name uncultured bacterium. Its description in RNAcentral is "partial 16S ribosomal RNA". It matches the Rfam family "Bacterial small subunit ribosomal RNA", at positions 524 to 776 of the family's 1533-position model. The record is from RNAcentral.